RNAcentral lists this long non-coding RNA (429 nucleotides) under Elaeis guineensis (African oil palm). RNAcentral describes it as "long non-coding RNA (EGUI_LNC034360)". Lineage: Eukaryota; Viridiplantae; Streptophyta; Magnoliopsida; Arecales; Arecaceae. The record is from RNAcentral.
CUUCUAAUAUUCUAAUUCUUAUAUUGAAACUCUACAUAUAUCGGACAAUGCUACGACAACUCACUAUAUUUCAAUUUCUUUGGCAAAUUUUUCAUGAAUUGCAAUUCUGUGUGCUUGCUAUUGCAGUCAAGGGCUCAUAGCUCGACAUAUGAGGUAUUGUCCGCUCUAACAUGAUGCUCCAUCUCAAGAACAAGAAAAAAAGAAACAAGAGUAUGAAGGUAUGAAUGAAGAACAUCAAGAACCAUCAAAUACCCUUCAACAAAGUAUAAAUGAUUUACCAAAGAAAUAGAAGUAUACUUAUAGUCACCCUAAAGAAUUAAUUAUUGCUGAUCCAUCUCAAGUUAUUAGGACUCGAAUAUAUAUUAGAAAAGCAUUAAAUCAUCUUAUAUUUAUAGCUCAUAUUGAACUUAAAAAUAUAAUUGAAAUCGA